GAUGAAGAAACGUAGCGAAAUGCGAUAAGUAAUGUGAAUUGCAGAAUUCAGUGAAUCAUCGAAUCUUUGAACGCACAUUGCGCCCCCUGGUAUUCCGGGGGGCAUGCCUGUUCGAGCGUCAUUUCACCACUCAAGCCUCGCUUGGUAUUGGGCAACGCGGUCCGCCGCGUGCCUCAAAUCGACCGGCUGGGUCUUCUGUCCCCUAAGCGUUGUGGAAACUAUUCGCUAAAGGGUGUUCGGGAGGCUACGCCGUAAAACAACCCCAUUUCUAAGGUUGACCUCGGAUCAGGUAGGGAUACCCGCUGAACUUAAGCAUAUCAAUAAGCGGAGGA
RNAcentral lists this unclassified non-coding RNA (332 nucleotides) under soil metagenome. RNAcentral's name for it is "partial contains 5.8S ribosomal RNA, internal transcribed spacer 2, and large subunit ribosomal RNA". The stretch from base 1 to 121 matches the Rfam family "5.8S ribosomal RNA", at positions 35 to 154 of the family's 154-position model. The record is from RNAcentral.